Molecule: transfer RNA, 75 nt
Filed under: Bacillota bacterium
Lineage: Bacteria; Bacillati; Bacillota
Also listed under: 3 other names
Description: Firmicutes bacterium (anaerobic digester metagenome) tRNA-Ile
Rfam family: tRNA
About the family: Transfer RNA (tRNA) molecules are approximately 80 nucleotides in length. Their secondary structure includes four short double-helical elements and three loops (D, anti-codon, and T loops).
Source: RNAcentral
GGGCCCAUAGCUCAGCGGUAGAGCAGUCGGCUCAUAACCGAUCGGUCCCUGGUUCGAACCCAGGUGGGCCCACCA